RNAcentral lists this ribosomal RNA (680 nucleotides) under uncultured Alphaproteobacteria bacterium. RNAcentral describes it as "bacterial SSU rRNA". It matches the Rfam family "Bacterial small subunit ribosomal RNA", at positions 129 to 846 of the family's 1533-position model. Lineage: Bacteria; Pseudomonadati; Pseudomonadota; Alphaproteobacteria. The record is from RNAcentral.
CCCUUUGGCCUGGAAUAACACGAGGAAACUUGUGCUAAUACCGGAUAAGUCUUUACGGAGAAAGCUUUAUGCACCAUUGGAUGAGCCUGCACUUGAUUAGUUUGUUGGUGGGGUAAUGGCCUACCAAGACUUUGAUCAAUAGCUGAUUUGAGAGGAUGAUCAGCCACAUUGGGACUGAGACACGGCCCAAACUCCUACGGGAGGCAGCAGUGGGGAAUCUUGCACAAUGGAGGAAACUCUGAUGCAGCGAUGCCGCGUGAGUGAAGAAGGCCUUUGGGUUGUAAAGCUCUUUCGUCGGGGAAGAAAAUGACUGUACCCGAAUAAGAAGGUCCGGCUAACUUCGUGCCAGCAGCCGCGGUAAUACGAAGGGACCUAGCGUAGUUCGGAAUUACUGGGCUUAAAGAGUUCGUAGGUGGUUGAAAAAGUUGGUGGUGAAAUCCCAGAGCUUAACUCUGGAACUGCCAUCAAAACUUUUCAGCUAGAGUUUGAUAGAGGAAAGCAGAAUUUCUAGUGUAGAGGUGAAAUUCGUAGAUAUUAGAAAGAAUACCAAUUGCGAAGGCAGCUUUCUGGAUCAUUACUGACACUGAGGAACGAAAGCAUGGGUAGCGAAGAGGAUUAGAUACCCUCGUAGUCCAUGCCGUAACGAUGUGUGUUAGACGUUGGAAAUUUAUUUUCAGUGU